CCUAUGGGAGGCAGCAGUAGGGAAUCUUCCACAAUGGACGCAAGUCUGAUGGAGCAACGCCGCGUGAGUGAAGAAGGGUUUCGGCUCGUAAAGCUCUGUUGUUGGUGAAGAAGGACAGGGGUAGUAACUGACCUUUGUUUGACGGUAAUCAAUUAGAAAGUCACGGCUAACUACGUGCCAGCAGCCGCGGUAAUACGUAGGUGGCAAGCGUUGUCCGGAUUUAUUGGGCGUAAAGCGAGUGCAGGCGGCUCGAUAAGUCUGAUGUGAAAGCCUUCGGCUCAACCGGAGAAUUGCAUCAGAAACUGUCGAGCUUGAGUACAGAAGAGGAGAGUGGAACUCCAUGUGUAGCGGUGAAAUGCGUAGAUAUUAGGAGGAACACCAGUGGCGAAGGCGGCUCUCUGGACUGUAACUGACGCUGAGGCUCGAAAGCGUGGGUAGCGAACAGGAUUAGAUACCCCAGGUAGUCC
Molecule: ribosomal RNA, 467 nt
Filed under: Klebsiella pneumoniae subsp. pneumoniae
Lineage: Bacteria; Pseudomonadati; Pseudomonadota; Gammaproteobacteria; Enterobacterales; Enterobacteriaceae
Description: bacterial SSU rRNA
Rfam family: Bacterial small subunit ribosomal RNA
Source: RNAcentral